RNAcentral lists this ribosomal RNA (1355 nucleotides) under uncultured Microgenomates group bacterium. Its description in RNAcentral is "bacterial SSU rRNA". It matches the Rfam family "Bacterial small subunit ribosomal RNA". The record is from RNAcentral.
CGGUGCCUAAAACAUGCAGUCGAGCGAGAUCUGACCGUCGCAAGACGGAAGGUGAAAGCGGCGAACGGGCGAGGAAUAAGUUGAUACCUUCCCAUGAGUGAGGGAUAACUCUUCGAAAGAAGAGCUAAUACCGCAUAAUCCCUACGGGGAAAAGCCGCAAGGCGCUUUUGGAGGGGUCUGCUUCCUAUCAGCUAGUUGGCGGGGUAAAAGCCCACCAAGGCGACGACGGGUAGCUGGUCUGAGAGGACGGCCAGCCGCAAUGGGACUGAGACACGGCCCAUACUCCUACGGGAGGCAGCAGUUAGGAAUCUUCCACAAUGGGCGAAAGCCUGAUGGAGUGACACCGCGUGAAGGAUGAAGCCUUUAUUGGCGUAAACUUCUUUUCUCAGGGACGAUAAUGACGGUACCUGAGGAAUAAGGGGUUGCCAACUACGUGCCAGCAGCAGCGGUAAUACGUAGGCCCCGAGCGUUAUCCGGAUUUACUGGGCGUAAAGAGUCUGUAGGCGGGAAAGAAAGUCGGUCAUCAAAUUCCGGGGCUCAACCCCGGUUCGUGAUCGAAACUCCUUUUCUUGAUCGGUUAAGAGGCAAGCGGAACGGUAGGAGUAGGGGUGCAAUCCGUUGACACCUACCAGAACACCAAAAGCGAAGGCAGCUUGCUGGGAACCUGAUGACGCUGAGAGACGAAAGCGUGGGGAGCGAAAAGGAUUAGAUACCCUUGUAGUCCACGCCCUAAACAAUGAUAACUAGGUGUCGGAAUUUCCGGUGCCGUAGCACACGCGUUAAGUUAUCCGCCUGAGGAGUACGGCCGCAAGGCUAAAACUCAAAUGAAUAGACGGGGGCCCACACAAGCAGUGGUCCAUGGGGUUUAAUUCGACAAUAAACGAGGAAUCUCACCCAGGUUUGACAUGUGCAGAACCCGCCGGAAACGGUGGGGUGCCCUCACGGGAGCUGCAACACAGGUGCUGCAUGGUUGUCGUCAGCUCGUGCCUUGAGGUGUUCGGUUGAGUCCGUUAACGAGCGCAACCCAUACCGUUAGUUAUACUGUCUAACGGGACUGCCUGAGUUAAUCAGGAGGAAGGUGUGGAUGACGUCAAAUCAGCAUGGCCCUUAUACCUGGGGCCACACCCAUGGAACAAUGGUCGGUACAAAGGGUUGCCAAGCAGCGAUGCGGAGCCAAUCCCAUAAAGCCGAUCCCAGUCCAGAUCGGAGUCUGAAACUCGACUCCGUGAAGUCGGAAUUGCUAGUAAUCGUGUAUCAGACAUGUCACGGUGAAUAUGUUCCUGGGCCUUGUACUCACCGCCCGUCAAGGCAUGGGAGGAAGAAUAUCGGAAUCCCCGAAUAAUGUCGGGCCCAUG